GCCAGGGAGGGGGAUACUCGCCAUGGAUGAAUCCAACGCCACCUGCGGCAAAAGACUCGCAUCAAUUGGGCUGGAGAACACAGAGGCAAACCGACAAGCUUACAGGACCCUCCUUGUCUCAGCUCCUGGUCUGGGCCAGUACAUCUCUGGGGCAAUCCUGUUCGAGGAAACUCUCUACCAGUCAACUACGGAUGGUAAGAAGAUGGUCGAUGUUCUUGUUGAGCAAAAGAUAGCGCCAGGGAUCAAAGUUGACAAGGUGAGCACUCGAUCUUUGGCAACACGUAUGGAAUUGUCAUAUUGUUUUACUCACAUCUAGGAUUGUGUUCUACUUCCAUCCUGUUUGUGUUAUCAGGGUCUGGUGCCACUUACUGGCUCAAAUGAUGAAUCAUGGUGCCAAGGAUUGGAUGGCCUCGCGUCGCGAUGUGCAGCAUACUAUCAACAGGGAGCUCGCUUUGCUAAAUGGUAAGAUACACUGUUGCAUCCUGGAAUUUAAUUGUGUGCAUGUUUGGAGGCCAUGCUUAUGUCCGGCUUGUUGCAGGCGUACAGUGGUCAGCAUUCCAAACGGCCCAUCAGCUCUCGCAGUGAAGGAAGCUGCUUGGGGUCUGGCUCGAUACGCUGCCAUUGCUCAAGUACAUCUCCUUCACUUCCAUUCUUUCAUCAUUAUAGGAUCAGUGAAUACAACUCCUUUCAGUAUGCACACGCUACGAGCAGAAAGCAGCCUCGACUAAUCUUCUCGUCUUGUUUGCAGGACAAUGGCCUGGUUCCAAUUGUGGAGCCUGAGAUACUGCUCGACGGAGAGCACGGGAUCGAUAGGACGUUUGAGGUCGCACAGAAAGUUUGGGCUGAGGUCUUCUUUUACUUGGCUGAGAACAACGUCAUGUUCGAAGGUAUCCUCCUCAAGCCAAGCAUGGUCACCCCCGGCGCCGAGUGCAAAGAGAAGGCCACACCGGAGCAGGUCGCCGACUACACCCUGAAGCUCCUGCACAGAAGAGUCCCAUCUGCUGUUCCUGGCAUUAUGGUACGCAGCACCACCAUGAUCAUCUUGUUCGCUUCUCUCAUAGAGGUGAUGAUUGAUGCCCAUUCACCUGUAAAUGUUUUGGCGAACAGUUCCUCUCCGGUGGACAGUCGGAAGUGGAGGCAACCCUGAACCUGAAUGCCAUGAACCAGAGCCCCAACCCAUGGCACGUCUCCUUCUCUUACGCGAGAGCUCUGCAGAACACCUGCCUGAAGACAUGGGGAGGAAGACCGGAGAACGUGAAGGCUGCGCAGGAUGUGCUCCUAGUCCGGGCCAAGGCCAACUCGCUCGCUCAGCUCGGGAAGUACUCAGCCGAGGGCGAAGCUGCAGAAGCUAAAGAGGGGAUGUACGUCAAGAACUACAGCUACUGAGAACCCAGCAAAGCAUGAUAUCUUCUAUAUCUCUGUGGAUUUUGAUUACCGGUCUGUUCAAGGAAGACGACGAUCGAUGUAGUUGAAUGUUUAAGCCUGCAUAAGACUGCAUUUGGUAUUAAGUAUCGAUUGAAUACAGCUUGUUAGCUGCGUCUGUUGCAAA
This 1549-nucleotide long non-coding RNA is filed under the name Musa acuminata (dwarf banana). RNAcentral describes it as "long non-coding RNA (MACU_LNC003230)". Lineage: Eukaryota; Viridiplantae; Streptophyta; Magnoliopsida; Zingiberales; Musaceae. The record is from RNAcentral.